UACGGAGGGGGCUAGCGUUGUUCGGAAUUACUGGGCGUAAAGCGUACGUAGGCGGCUUUGUAAGUUAGAGGUGAAAGCCCGGGGCUCAACCUCGGAACUGCCUUCGAUACUGCGGGUCUCGUAGUCCGGGAGAGGUGAGUGGAAUUCCGUAGUGUAGAGGUGAAAUUCGUAGAUAGUUAGGAAGAACACCAGUGGCGAAGGCGGCUCACUGGCCCGGUACUGACGCUGAGGCGCGAAAGCGUGGGGGAGCAAACAGG
This 257-nucleotide ribosomal RNA is filed under the name uncultured bacterium. RNAcentral describes it as "partial 16S ribosomal RNA". It matches the Rfam family "Bacterial small subunit ribosomal RNA", at positions 524 to 776 of the family's 1533-position model. The record is from RNAcentral.